UCACAAGCCUCUGCUAAUGUGUACAUAGUUUCAGGGUAGCCCCCAAAAUAUUGGAACAUAUAAAAAAAAAAGACAACUCUGUUCCGCAGAGUAGCUGUUGACAUUAUAGUUUCGCAGGCGCUUUGUUGACUCUAGAGAACCUCAGGCCAAUCGCACAUCCCCAUGACGGUGACUUUGCAUUCGGAUGUCAUCCAUAUCAACUUUCGAUGCUAGUUUCUGCGCCUACCAUGGUGACCACGGGUAACGGGGAAUCAGGGUUCUAUUCCGUACAAGGACCCUGAGAAAUGGCUACCACAUACAAGGAAGGCAGCAGGCGCGCAAAUGACCCACUACCGACGCAGGAAGGUAGUGACGA
Pelobates cultripes (western spadefoot toad) is the source of this 355-nucleotide non-coding RNA. Lineage: Eukaryota; Metazoa; Chordata; Amphibia; Anura; Pelobatidae. The record is from the annotation of a GenBank genome assembly.